GACGUAGGGGGCCAGCGUUGUUCGGAAUUACUGGGUGUAAAGGGUCAGUAGGCGGUGCGGCAAGUCAGGAGUGAAAUCUCUGGGCUUAACCCAGAGGCUGCUUCCGAAACUGCCGUGCUGGAGUGUGGGAGAGGUGCGUGGAAUUCCCGGUGUAGCGGUGAAAUGCGUAGAUAUGUGGAGGAACACCGAUGGCGAAGGCAGCCCCCUGGGUCAAGACUGACGCUCAUGCACGAAAGCGUGGGGAGCAAACAGG
Molecule: ribosomal RNA, 253 nt
Filed under: uncultured prokaryote
Description: partial 16S ribosomal RNA
Rfam family: Bacterial small subunit ribosomal RNA
Source: RNAcentral